AACGAACGCUGGCGGCGCGCCUAACACAUGCAAGUCGAACGAGAAGGCGUAGCAAUACGCUUGUAGAGUGGCGAACGGGUGAGUAAUACGUGGGUGACCUACCCUCGAGUGGGGAAUAACCCGCCGAAAGGCGGGCUAAUGCCGCGUACGCUUCCGUCCUCACGGGGACGGAAGGAAAGCUGUACCGUGGGUACGGCGCUCAAGGAUGGGCUCACGUCCUAUCAGCUUGUUGGUAGGGUAACGGCCUACCAAGGCUACGACGGGUAGCUGGUCUGAGAGGACGAUCAGCCACACUGGCACUGCGACACGGGCCCAGACUCCUACGGGAGGCAGCAGUGAGGAAUAUUGCGCAAUGGGCGAAAGCCUGACGCAGCGACGCCGCGUGGGGAUGAA
This 393-nucleotide ribosomal RNA is filed under the name uncultured bacterium. RNAcentral describes it as "bacterial SSU rRNA". It matches the Rfam family "Bacterial small subunit ribosomal RNA", at positions 29 to 412 of the family's 1533-position model. The record is from RNAcentral.